UACGUAGGCAGCAAACGUUGUUCGGAAUUACUGGGCGUAAAGGGCUCGUAGGCGGCCAACUAAGUCAGACGUGAAAUCCCUCGGCUUAACCGGGGAACUGCGUCUGAUACUGGAUGGCUUGAAUCCGGGAGAGGGAUGCGGAAUUCCAGGUGUAGCGGUGAAAUGCGUAGAUAUCUGGAGGAACACCGGUGGCGAAGGCGGCAUCCUGGACCGGCAUUGACGCUGAGGAGCGAAAGCCAGGGGAGCAAACGGG
RNAcentral lists this ribosomal RNA (253 nucleotides) under uncultured bacterium. RNAcentral's name for it is "partial 16S ribosomal RNA". It matches the Rfam family "Bacterial small subunit ribosomal RNA", at positions 524 to 776 of the family's 1533-position model. The record is from RNAcentral.